This 468-nucleotide ribosomal RNA is filed under the name uncultured bacterium. Its description in RNAcentral is "partial 16S ribosomal RNA". It matches the Rfam family "Bacterial small subunit ribosomal RNA", at positions 28 to 507 of the family's 1533-position model. The record is from RNAcentral.
GACGAACGCUGGCGGCGUGCUUAACACAUGCAAGUCGAACGGAAAGGCCCUGCUUUUGUGGGGUGCUCGAGUGGCGAACGGGUGAGUAACACGUGAGUAACCUGCCCUUGACUUUGGGAUAACUUCAGGAAACUGGGGCUAAUACCGGAUAGGAGCUCCUGCUGCAUGGUGGGGGGUGGAAAGUUUCGGCGGUUGGGGAUGGACUCGCGGCUUAUCAGCUUGUUGGUGGGGUAGUGGCUUACCAAGGCUUUGACGGGUAGCCGGCCUGAGAGGGUGACCGGCCACAUUGGGACGGAGAUACGGCCCAGACUCCUACGGGAGGCAGCAGUGGGGAAUAUUGCACAAUGGGCGGAAGCCUGAUGCAGCAACGCCGCGUGCGGGAUGACGGCCUUCGGGUUGUAAACCGCUUUCGCCUGUGACGAAGCGUGAGUGACGGUAAUGGGUAAAGAAGCACCGGCUAACUACGUG